AGAGUUUGAUCCUGGCUCAGGAUGAACGCUAGCGACAGGCUUAACACAUGCAAGUCGAGGGGCAGCAUAAUUUGUAGCAAUACAGAUUGAUGGCGACCGGCGCACGGGUGAGUAACGCGUAUGCAACUUACCUAUCAGAGGGGGAUAGCCCGGCGAAAGUCGGAUUAAUACCCCAUAAAACAGGGGUCCCGCAUGGGAAUAUUUGUUAAAGAUUCAUCGCUGAUAGAUAGGCAUGCGUUCCAUUAGGCAGUUGGCGGGGUAACGGCCCACCAAACCGACGAUGGAUAGGGGUUCUGAGAGGAAGGUCCCCCACAUUGGUACUGAGACACGGACCAAACUCCUACGGGAGGCAGCAGUGAGGAAUAUUGGUCAAUGGCCGAGAGGCUGAACCAGCCAAGUCGCGUGAAGGAAGAAGGAUCUAUGGUUUGUAAACUUCUUUUAUAGGGGAAUAAAGUGGAGGACGUGUCCUUUUUUGUAUGUACCCUAUGAAUAAGCAUCGGCUAACUCCGUGCCAGCAGCCGCGGUAAUACGGAGGAUGCGAGCGUUAUCCGGAUUUAUUGGGUUUAAAGGGUGCGUAGGUGGUGAUUUAAGUCAGCGGUGAAAGUUUGUGGCUCAACCAUAAAAUUGCCGUUGAAACUGGGUUACUUGAGUGUGUUUGAGGUAGGCGGAAUGCGUGGUGUAGCGGUGAAAUGCAUAGAUAUCACGCAGAACUCCGAUUGCGAAGGCAGCUUACUAAACCAUAACUGACACUGAAGCACGAAAGCGUGGGGAUCAAACAGGAUUAGAUACCCUGGUAGUCCACACCGUAAACGAUGAUUACUAGGUGUUGGAGGAUUGACCCCUUCAGUGCCGCAGUUAACACAAUAAGUAAUCCACCUGGGGAGUACGACCGCAAGGUUGAAACUCAAAGGAAUUGACGGAAGGGCGAA
RNAcentral lists this ribosomal RNA (929 nucleotides) under uncultured bacterium. RNAcentral describes it as "bacterial SSU rRNA". It matches the Rfam family "Bacterial small subunit ribosomal RNA", at positions 8 to 925 of the family's 1533-position model. The record is from RNAcentral.